RNAcentral lists this small RNA (141 nucleotides) under Klebsiella pneumoniae. Its description in RNAcentral is "RtT sRNA". It matches the Rfam family "RtT RNA". From Rfam's summary of the family: This family represents a bacterial cis-regulatory element known as RtT RNA. The exact function of RtT is unknown although it is thought that it may be involved in changing the cellular response in relation to amino acid starvation. Lineage: Bacteria; Pseudomonadati; Pseudomonadota; Gammaproteobacteria; Enterobacterales; Enterobacteriaceae. RNAcentral also lists the same sequence under 5 other names. The record is from RNAcentral.
CGAGCGUUCAUAAGGGAGCUGACUGUAAAUCUGCAGUCAUCGACUUCAAGGUUCGACUCGAGCACCAGCGAGAGAACGUUGCCGAAGGCAACGGCCCGAAGGGUGAGGAGCUUUAGCUCCGAAUAAUCCUUCCCUCCUGUU